Molecule: ribosomal RNA, 465 nt
Filed under: uncultured bacterium
Lineage: Bacteria
Description: partial 16S ribosomal RNA
Rfam family: Bacterial small subunit ribosomal RNA
Source: RNAcentral
GACGAACGCUGGCGGCGUGCUUAACACAUGCAAGUCGAACGGAAAGGCCCUGCUUGCAGGGUACUCGAGUGGCGAACGGGUGAGUAACACGUGGGUGAUCUGCCCUGCACUUCGGGAUAAGCCUGGGAAACUGGGUCUAAUACCGGAUAGGAGCCAUUUUUAGUGUGAUGGUUGGAAAGUUUUUUCGGUGUAGGAUGAGCUCGCGGCCUAUCAGCUUGUUGGUGGGGUAAUGGCCUACCAAGGCGGCGACGGGUAGCCGGCCUGAGAGGGUGGACGGCCACAUUGGGACUGAGAGACGGCGCAGAAUCCUACGGGAGGCAGCAGUGGGGAAUAUUGCACAAUGGGCGCAAGCCUGAUGCAGCGACGCCGCGUGGGGGAUGACGGCCUUCGGGUUGUAAACUCCUUUCGCUAGGGACGAAGCUUUUUGUGACGGUACCUAGAGAAGAAGCACCGGCUAACUACGUG